RNAcentral lists this long non-coding RNA (778 nucleotides) under Carica papaya (papaya). RNAcentral's name for it is "long non-coding RNA (CPAP_LNC013751)". The record is from RNAcentral. Lineage: Eukaryota; Viridiplantae; Streptophyta; Magnoliopsida; Brassicales; Caricaceae.
UUCAUUAAAGAUGAUGGUCUUUUUUUGGUUCUUGAAAAAAUGCAGGUGUCUGCCAUCACUAAGCCUUCCUCUUUAUAUCUAUUAAGAAGAUUUAAAAAUAGUUUAUAGGAAGAGUAUAUACCAUACAAGCAGCUGGGUUAGAAAUACCCCCCUCACCCACUGUCAUAUUCUUAAAUAUUCCUUUUUUUAAAUCACCUUCAUCAUUUGUAGCUAAAGUUCAUGAAUUCAAAGGGAUGAAAGCACAUGUUUAAUGACAUUCUUUUUUCUCAUGAAGAAGAAAAUAAGUAAGAAUAGCUUUUCAAUGCAGUGAAUAUCACAGAUAAGUAAGAUAGAUAUGAAAACAUCUUUCUAUUUUGAAAGUUCUAUCAUCUUAAAGUUUAAAUCUUGGUCGAAAGUAAUAUUGGUACCAUAGAGGAGUUGGUUAGAUGCAAAUGCAGAAUAAAUUAUUUUACUUCCUUCUUUAAGAAUCUAAAAUUCUAGAUAGAUUGUAAAUUUAAUUAGUUUUAUUUUCAGUCAUUUGAUGAGGAUCAAAAAGGUGGAUCACUGUUCCUAGUUUUGUGGUUACUUCUAUGUGUUCUUGAAUCAUGUACUUAUGAUAUUUAGAAAUGAAUCAGCAAAGAAAUAUAUCUUCAACUCUAUUUGCGCUACUUAUAUGUAUAUUUUCUCUUACUUAUAUCUGCAUAGGAUAUCAUCCUUUCUAAGAAUAGCAUUAAAAGGUAAAUAGAGUAUAUAGGCACUCAACAAUUAGGUUACUUUUUAUUUUAUCUCUUGACUUUCA